Molecule: transfer RNA, 72 nt
Filed under: Camelus bactrianus (Bactrian camel)
Lineage: Eukaryota; Metazoa; Chordata; Mammalia; Artiodactyla; Camelidae
Also listed under: 2 other names
Rfam family: tRNA
About the family: Transfer RNA (tRNA) molecules are approximately 80 nucleotides in length. Their secondary structure includes four short double-helical elements and three loops (D, anti-codon, and T loops). Further hydrogen bonds mediate the characteristic L-shaped molecular structure. tRNAs have two regions of fundamental functional importance: the anti-codon, which is responsible for specific mRNA codon recognition, and the 3' end, to which the tRNAs corresponding amino acid is attached (by aminoacyl-tRNA synthetases). tRNAs cope with the degeneracy of the genetic code in two manners: having more than one tRNA (with a specific anti-codon) for a particular amino acid; and 'wobble' base-pairing, i.e. permitting non-standard base-pairing at the 3rd anti-codon position.
Source: Rfam by way of RNAcentral
GAGGGUACAGCUCAGGGGGAGAGCACAUGCUUAGUAGGCAUGAGGUCCUGCGUUCAAUCCCCAGUACCUCCA